GCAUUCUGACCUAGCCUAUUACUCCUGCUAAGAGUGAAUGGAUAACAGGGGAGUCUGGCAGGACACACAGCAACCUCCUCUAAGUUUAGGAGGGCUGUCCUGGGUAUAGGGCUGCCCUUAAGGGGGAAAAA
Molecule: small nucleolar RNA, 131 nt
Filed under: Myotis davidii
Lineage: Eukaryota; Metazoa; Chordata; Mammalia; Chiroptera; Vespertilionidae
Description: Small Cajal body specific RNA 11
Rfam family: Small Cajal body specific RNA 11
About the family: scaRNAs are a specific class of small nuclear RNAs which localise to the Cajal bodies and guide the modification of RNA polymerase II transcribed spliceosomal RNAs U1, U2, U4, U5 and U12. ACA57 belongs to the H/ACA box class of guide RNAs as it has the predicted hairpin-hinge-hairpin-tail structure, conserved H/ACA-box motifs and is found associated with GAR1.
Source: Rfam by way of RNAcentral